AUGGCCUCCUCAAGCUCCACUGUCGCCGCGCCUGCCCUCAUCCCCAUAGCCGACCGACUCCAUCGCUCCAACUUUCUGGUAUGGCGGGCGCAAGCCAUGGCAGCCAUCCGCGAGGUGCAGCUCGUCUCCUACCUCGAUCCAGAUCGGGAGCAGCCGGAGCAGAAGUUUCGCGACAAGGACGGCAAGACCACGGACGUGCCCAACCCUUCAUGCGACAUCGACAAGGCUCGAGAUUCUCAGGUGCUGAGUUUCAUCUUCAACUCCAUCUCAGCUCCUGUCAUGGUUCAGGUUGCACACUGCAUACGCUUCAAGCCAUCUUUCACCCUGAACAAGAUCCUGUACAUGAGGCCGCCGGCAAACAUCGUGUCCCACAACGAGCUCAUCUCGAUGUGGGAGAGCAAAGCGGGCAGGACUUUCCAGAUAGUGCGAAUCCUAGAGGCGGAUCUCCUCAAGUUGAUCAAGGAGGCGGCAUUCCCUCUGAACAUAUUGCUGUCCAUCGCGCUCACCAUCUUUGUCGGGGGUGACCAGGCUAACUUCGAGAUUGAACCAUCCUUUGGUGGUGAGACCACCGAGCUGUACCCUGACCUGAAGUACACCACUGUCGACGAGUAUCUCGUUCGCCUUCUCUGA
Molecule: ribosomal RNA, 630 nt
Filed under: Triticum aestivum (bread wheat)
Lineage: Eukaryota; Viridiplantae; Streptophyta; Magnoliopsida; Poales; Poaceae
Description: partial small subunit ribosomal RNA
Source: RNAcentral